UCGGGCUCCAGGAAUGUAUAUUUCGUCCAUUUAAUAAGAAUUAUAUCCCUCGUCAUGGGUUGGAAAUGUGUGACAGACAUCCCUCCGAGUUGUUUAAACUACAUUUUAACACAAGAACAUAAAAGGAGAGUAUGAGGGAUUGUUGUUUUUGGUUUUGGUUUUGAAGGUCGAUGAACAAAUGAUCACUACUGUGAUUCACAACGUUCAGGAUCAACCUCAGUGAGACUGGUCGACACAUUUGUUAAUGCUGUGUAACAAGCUAACGAGAUGAUGGGAUGGCUAAUUGUUGUUUAUCACAAUACAACAGAGGUUACUUGUUUAAUCAGAACGACUGGUCCUGGUUUGAUCUCUUCAAGAUAACGAUUGUCAAGAGAAAACCUCCUACCUGGAAGACUGGACACUUU
Molecule: long non-coding RNA, 404 nt
Organism: Sebastes umbrosus (honeycomb rockfish)
Lineage: Eukaryota; Metazoa; Chordata; Actinopteri; Perciformes; Sebastidae
Exons: 3
Source: RefSeq, a predicted model, not a curated record